This 274-nucleotide long non-coding RNA is filed under the name Mytilus galloprovincialis (Mediterranean mussel). The record is from RNAcentral. Lineage: Eukaryota; Metazoa; Mollusca; Bivalvia; Mytilida; Mytilidae.
AUCCUACUUCGUCAAAAUUAUCUCCCCAUUACGCCAGUUCAUUUUCACAAUCGUAAAAUCGGAAGCCAUUGUAGGGAUGACGCGCUACCAAUUUUGCUCUUGGAAACCGAUAAAUUUAUCCACAUUGCACCAUUACGAUCCUUAUAUUGUAGAUGUAUUUUUAAAGACAAAUGUAUCAACUAGCUAAUGGUCAUCAGUUAAUAAUCUUGUCUGCAUUGAUUCAACUUAAAACUAUUGUCUGAUCGGUUGUCAGGUGGAAUUUUCAAAAAUUCAU